GUAAGGAAUAUUGGGCAAUGGUCGGAAGACUGACCCAGCCAUGCCGCGUGCAGGAAGACGGCCCUCUGGGUUGUAAACUGCUUUUAUCUGGGAAGAAAAAGGCCAUGCGUGGCAAAUUGCCGGUACCAGAUGAAUAAGCACCGGCUAACUCCGUGCCAGCAGCCGCGGUAAUACGGAGGGUGCGAGCGUUGUCCGGAUUUAUUGGGUUUAAAGGGUGCGUAGGCGGCUGAUUAAGUCAGCGGUGAAAGACUUCGGCUUAACCGGAGCAGUGCCGUUGAUACUGGUUGGCUUGAGUGUCGGAGGGGUACAUGGAAUUGAUGGUGUAGCGGUGAAAUGCAUAGAUACCAUCAGGAACACCGAUAGCGAAGGCAUUGUACUGGCCGACAACUGACGCUGAUGCACGAAAGUGUGGGGAUCGAACAGGAUUAGAAACCCUUGUAGUCC
Molecule: ribosomal RNA, 444 nt
Filed under: uncultured bacterium
Lineage: Bacteria
Description: partial 16S ribosomal RNA
Rfam family: Bacterial small subunit ribosomal RNA
Source: RNAcentral